AUUGAACGCUGGCGGCAUGCUUUACACAUGCAAGUCGAACGGUAACAGGCCUUCGGGUGCUGACGAGUGGCGAACGGGUGAGUAAUGCAUCGGAACGUACCCAGAGGUGGGGGAUAACGCAGCGAAAGCUGUGCUAAUACCGCAUGUGAUCUGAGGAUGACAGCGGGGGACCGCGCAGCAAUGUUUGGCCUCGCGCCUUUGGAGCGGCCGAUGUCGGAUUAGCUAGUUGGUGGGGUAAAGGCCCACCAAGGCGACGAUCCGUAGCUGGUCUGAGAGGACGACCAGCCACACUGGGACUGAGACACGGUCCAGACUCCUACGGGAGGCAGCAGUGGGGAAUUUUGGACAAUGGGCGCAAGCCUGAUCCAGCAAUGCCGCGUGGGGGAAGAAGGCCUUCGGGUUGUAAACCGCUUUUGGCAGGAACGAAACGGUGUCCGCUAAUACCGGGCGCUAAUGACGGUACCUGCAGAAUAAGCACCGGCUAACUACGUG
This 492-nucleotide ribosomal RNA is filed under the name uncultured bacterium. RNAcentral describes it as "partial 16S ribosomal RNA". It matches the Rfam family "Bacterial small subunit ribosomal RNA", at positions 29 to 507 of the family's 1533-position model. The record is from RNAcentral.